CAGACAGAGAGAAAGAAACUGAUGAGUGUGAUGUGAGGAGAGAGAGAGAGAGCGGUGAAAAAAGGAGAAGUCAAAGUCGGGAUGAAUUCUCUGAUUUCUGAGGUUUCCACCAAAGUUCAAGCAGCUCAGAUGAAGAAAGCUGGAAGAUUAAUGGUCAAAUCUGAAUGUGCAGCACCUGUUACUCACAGUGAUGAUUUAAGUCUAUUACACUGUUGUUACUCUAUUCUAUAUAUACUGUUCAUUCUGUUCACACUGAAAAGAUCAGUAUUGUUGAUCAGCAGAAUUCAGUCAGUGUAAAUAUUCACUGUUUCCACAGAGCUUUAUUUUCCUUCUAUUUUAUAUUGUACAGGUAAUUGAAUCUAUUUACAUAAUCUGUAGAAAGUGUGUUCUGUAUAAAUAAAAAGUAAUAUUUUAUGUGUUUUCCUAUUCUUCAUUUCUCUGUUUCAUGUAUUACUAUUACAGCAGUCUAAUGUGACGCUGCUGCAGAAUAUAUAAAAAUCUUUCUUGGCCAAUAAAAAUGUUCCGUUUCCUGCU
Molecule: long non-coding RNA, 534 nt
Organism: Colossoma macropomum (tambaqui)
Lineage: Eukaryota; Metazoa; Chordata; Actinopteri; Characiformes; Serrasalmidae
Exons: 2
Source: RefSeq, a predicted model, not a curated record